GUGGAUUCAACGUUAAUAAAGCACAUAUACUCAAAUUUUAAUGAUGCAUUGAAUAUUACCAUGGCUCCUGCAUGAAGAUGACAUGCAAAUUUGUGAAAUGUUCCAUAUUUUU
This is a small nuclear RNA of Urocitellus parryii (Arctic ground squirrel), 112 nucleotides long. Lineage: Eukaryota; Metazoa; Chordata; Mammalia; Rodentia; Sciuridae. The record is from Ensembl.